CCCUACGGGACGCAGCAGUAGGGAAUUUUCGUCAAUGGGCGCAAGCCUGAACGAGCAAUGCCGCGUGAAGGAAGAAGGCUUUCGGGUUGUAAACUUCUUUUCUUGGGGACGAAGAAAGUGACGGUACCCAAGGAAUAAGCCACGGCUAACUACGUGCCAGCAGCCGCGGUAAUACGUAGGUGGCAAGCGUUAUCCGGAUUUAUUGGGUGUAAAGGGCGUGUAGGCGGGAUUGCAAGUCAGAUGUGAAAACCACGGGCUCAACCUGUGGCCUGCAUUUGAAACUGUAGUUCUUGAGUGCUGGAGAG
RNAcentral lists this ribosomal RNA (305 nucleotides) under uncultured bacterium. RNAcentral's name for it is "bacterial SSU rRNA". It matches the Rfam family "Bacterial small subunit ribosomal RNA", at positions 337 to 656 of the family's 1533-position model. The record is from RNAcentral.